AUGUCGUCGUCGUGGAACUCGGUGGGGCUGGAGGUGCUCUACCAGGUCAUCGGGUGGAUCGCCUUCGUCGCCUGGUCCUUCAGCUUCUACCCGCAGGUCGUCCUCAACUACAGGCGCAAGAGUGUCGUCGGUCUGAACUUCGAUUUUCUGGUGCUGAAUUUCACAAAGCACUCUUCCUACCUCAUAUACAAUGCUGCUCUAUUCUUCAGCCCCUUCAUCCAGCAACAGUAUCAUGACAAGUUUGGUGAUAAAGAGAUGAUUCCUGUUGCUGCAAAUGAUGUUGCUUUCUCUCUACAUGCAGUGGCCUUGACAUCUUUUACCCUUUACCAAGUUUUUAUUUAUGAGCGUGGAAACCAGAAAGUCUCCAAAGUGUGCAUAUCAAUCUCUGCUGUUGUCUGGUCAGCUGCUAUUGUUUGCCUCAUUGUAGCUUGGCCAAAAAGUAACUGGCUAUGGCUUAUUGAUGUAUUCAAUUCAAUACAGGUUGCGAUGACAACAGUCAAGUACAUCCCUCAGGCUGUGAUGAACUUCAGGCGGAAGAGUACAGUUGGUUGGAGUAUUGGCAAUAUUUUACUUGAUCUUACAGGGGGGGUGCUGAACUUUGGUCAGAUGGGUGUGCAAUCUAUUGAUCAGCACACUUUAGUGAAUUUCUAUGGAAAUAUCGGCAAGACCCUUCUUUCGUUGGAAACUGUUUUCUUCGAUGUUCUCUUCAUAAUUCAACACUAUGUGUUGUACCCUGUCAAACGGGAUGAGAAUGGUAAGGCCAUCAUUUCUGAGAGGGUAGCUCCUCUGAUCAGGCCCUCAGAUAAGCCUGAAGAAGAUAGUGUAUGA
Molecule: ribosomal RNA, 828 nt
Filed under: Triticum aestivum (bread wheat)
Lineage: Eukaryota; Viridiplantae; Streptophyta; Magnoliopsida; Poales; Poaceae
Description: partial small subunit ribosomal RNA
Source: RNAcentral